This 92-nucleotide transfer RNA is filed under the name Felis catus (domestic cat). It matches the Rfam family "tRNA". Rfam says of the family: Transfer RNA (tRNA) molecules are approximately 80 nucleotides in length. Their secondary structure includes four short double-helical elements and three loops (D, anti-codon, and T loops). Further hydrogen bonds mediate the characteristic L-shaped molecular structure. tRNAs have two regions of fundamental functional importance: the anti-codon, which is responsible for specific mRNA codon recognition, and the 3' end, to which the tRNAs corresponding amino acid is attached (by aminoacyl-tRNA synthetases). tRNAs cope with the degeneracy of the genetic code in two manners: having more than one tRNA (with a specific anti-codon) for a particular amino acid; and 'wobble' base-pairing, i.e. permitting non-standard base-pairing at the 3rd anti-codon position. Lineage: Eukaryota; Metazoa; Chordata; Mammalia; Carnivora; Felidae. The record is from Rfam by way of RNAcentral.
GCCUGGGUAGCUCAGUCAGUUGAGUGUCUGACUCCUGAUUUCGGCCCAGGUCAUGAUCUCACAGGUUGUGAGUUCGAGCCCCACCUCAGGCU